This is a long non-coding RNA of Callithrix jacchus (white-tufted-ear marmoset), 3412 nucleotides long. NCBI's taxonomy places the organism in Eukaryota, Metazoa, Chordata, Mammalia, Primates, Cebidae. The record is from Ensembl.
UCCUACUUUUGCACUUCUUUAUGAGUGUCCUUAUUAUUAAGUUUUGGCAUUAAGUAUUCAUUUACAGUCUUCUGCCAGAUUGUUUAUUUUAAAUGUUGAGAAAUGAUCAUUUGUUUAUUGGAUCCAAGUAUUAUGCUAUCCUUGGUUUAAAGACGAAAUAGCUUUAAGUAGGAAAUUCCCACAUAUUAUUAAUAUGUAUACCCCACUAGAUGAGCAUGUGUGAGAGAGAAACAGACCCAGAGCUGGAGGCAGAGAAUGGGACACAGAAAGAGGAAACAAAGAAACCAUGGCGUCUUAAGAGGGUCCCUGCUGCCUGCUUCCCUUUCGGCCAUGAUUGUUAAGUUUCCUGAGGACUCCCCAGCAAUUCAGAACUACUCCUGCCACCACCAUGAGAAGAUGCUGUUUCCAGCUUGAAGGAGAAAUAUAACAGAAGUCCAAUGAAAGAGAGCUGAGUGUCCCCAAUGAUGCCAUCGAGAUGAGCUAACUACAGUUAACCAGCCAGGUGACAGCAGAUACAUGAGUGAGCCCAUCUGAGAGCAGGUGAGCAUAGCCCAGGGUAGCAGAACUGCUGAGCCAGUCCCUUAGUUGACUCAGAAUAGUAAGUGGUUGUCUUCAGCCAUUAAUCGUAGAGUGAUUUGUUAUACAGCAAUAGUAUAUCGAUACAGGAUCAUUGGUUCCAGAAUUCCCAUAUUAGAGAUGAGAAAACUAAGGCUGGGGAUCUACAUUUUCCCCAACUUAAUAUAGCUACUAAACUCCCCAAAUUUUAGAGUUGACAACUCUACUUAUAAGUUAUAUAAAAUCCGGAGCACCUAAUUAUUGACAAACUUCUCAAUCCUUACCAGCUAGCUCCAGAUGAUAAUGUAUAAACUGUUUUCUGGAAUUAUUUUGAUUAGUAUUACACUUAAAGUUAAAGAUUUUGUUAAGCCUAAGCAUUACAGAAAUUGUCAUUCAUGUGAAGUUAUUCUCUUGUGCCUCGAAAAGCUAUAUUUGGUGUGCUGAGUUUGUAGUUGCAUUUGAUGCUUAAUGGGGUUAGCCCUGUGAAGCAUAUUGCAAGUGUCCUCUAGAGACUGGACUGGUUUCCAAUUGAUUUCGAGUUGCAAUUAAAAUUGUUGUCUUUCACAAAUAGCAACUACAUUGUGUCAAUUGAUGACCUUUCAAAAACUACUGGAAAUAAAAUCUGAAACUUUGAAACUACAGUAGAGGUUACUCUGUAAUAUAUGUGAGACCAGCAAUCAUGAAUUGGGAGGGUUUCCUUUCAAUUAUGAUUCAAGCUUCAGUAUCCAAAAUAUAGAGUUUUUUACCUAAUUAUAGCUUAUGGUAUUGUAUUUGGAUUGAGAAAUAUAGUGAUUCAGAAUGGUUUUCUUUCCUAAUAGUCUGCUAUUUAGUGGGAUUUUUUUUAUUAAGCAGAAAUCUCAUUUUCUUUAAAAUACUUUAAUAUCCUAGUAUAGUAGAUUUUUGAUAAUCUAAAAGUUUUAGGCUUUUUUUAUUUUGGGCUUGGAGAUAAACAAUAAUUAACACUCCUUAAAUGUGUAUUUCUUUCUUCUGAUGAUGACUUGCCUUUGAGGACCAGGUUCAAAACAUAUAGCACUGGAAUUGAUUCACUCUGAUUUCCAUUUAUUUAUUAAGUGUUUGCCUUUGUGCCAGUUUUGCAAUGUCAUCAGUUGGCUACAAUAAAUCUAUAUGUGCUCCGAAGAAAGUUGAUUUCUUUAAUUUUCCUCUCCAAGACUUAUUUUUUCUGUGUGCUAAGCUUUAAAGGACUUAAAGGGAUAAAAUGUAAAGAAGUUGUUUUGAUCCAAAAAGAUAUGCCUCAAAGUUUAAAGACCUAUGUUCUUCUGUUACCCAAAUUCAAAAGAACCAAUAUGGGUAUCAUUGUAAUUAUUACAUAAUUCUUAGUCAUAAGUUAUUGAGUCAUCCCAUGAGAGAGCAAUUCAUCUUAACAUAGUCCCAAUCUAAUAACAAUAUUCAAGUCUUAAGUUCAGAUCACAUUUCCCUCCUGCUUAUAGACCUUUCUCCUCAAAUUUUGGUAUUCAUUAGGAAGAAGAGACCAAAGACAUAGACUUCUUUAUUAAGAAAGUGAUAAACUUCAUUUAGGUGUAACUCACCUGACAAAAAGGAUGGGUUUCUGUAAACUAAGGUAAAUAUUAGAUUUUGUGUGUGUAAAUGAAGAAAUCUGUAGACACAUUUUGGGGACAUAUUAAUGUGUAAAUUCAAGAGUAACUCCUUUUAAAAAUAAAUAUCUCUUACAAAAUUUUAUUCUUAGAAAUUAAAAAAAUGGAAUCUAUUUUAUUUUCAAUUGUACUUUAAACUCUGGGGUACAUGUGCACACCCCACAGGGUUGUUGCAUAGGUACAUACAAGCCAUGGUGGUUUGCAGUCUCCAUCCCCCAUCACCUACAUCAGGCAUUUCUCCCAGUGUUUUCCCUCCCUAGCCUCCCUGCCCCCUGCUGUCACUCCCCUAGCCCCCCAAACCCCUAACCUACCCCAGUGUGUGAUGUCCCCCUCCCUGUGCCCACGUGUUCUUAUUGUUCAACACCUGCCUAUGAAUGAGAACAUGCAGUGUUUGAUUUUCUGUUCUUGUUUUUAUUAUUGCUAAACCCAUUUACUCCAACAUUUUACUUUUCCUUUUUCUCACUAUUCUUGAACCUAUUAAAAGAGGAAGCAGCAAACAUGUUGGAACAACAUAAAAAAUAAGGAAAAACAAAACAAAGAAUCACAAAGAAACAAAAUGUCUAGUGUCUUAAUUACAUGCUGCUAUGUAAUAAAUUACCCAAAACUAAAUGUCUUAAAACAGCGUAUUUAGUAUCUCACAGUUUCUGUGGGCUGGGAAUGUAGGUAAAGCUUAAUUGGAUUUUCUGCUUAGGAUCUUCCACAGGCUGCAAUCAUGGUGACAUCUGGAGCUGUGGUCUAAUUUCAAGGACCAACUAUGAAAAGAUCCACUUCCAAGCUCAUUCAUUUGAUCUUUGGCAUAAUUCAAUUCCUUGUAGGCCAUCAGAGGGCCUCAGUUUCCUCCUGACUGUAGGCCAGAGGCUAACCUUAGUUUCUUGCCACCUGGCCACUUCUACAUAGCAGCCUGCUUCAUCAAAACUAGCAAGCGAGCGAGAGAGAGAAUCUGCAAGCAAGAGGCACAUCAGUCUAUUGCAACUUAAGGACUAAAAUGACAACCCAUUGCUUUUGUUAUAUUUAAUUCAUUAGAAACAAGUCAUUAAGUCCAGGGCAAACUCAAGGGAAAGAUAUCACACAAGGGUGUGAGAUUAUAUGGGAGGAAGGGAUCAAUGGAGCCUGUCUUAGGAGUCCAUGUAUCAUAAAUAGAGUGGUUCAGUUGUUACUGUCUUAAUAUUAUCUCCUUUUAUGGAAAUAUUUAAAAAUAUUUUUGUUAUCUAUCAUAUUUUGUUACAUAUACUAUAUCAUUACAG